CGGGGGGGGGUGCUAUACAUGCAGUCGAGCGGACAGAUGGGAGCUUGCUCCCUGAUGUUAGCGGCGGACGGGUGAGUAACACGUGGGUAACCUGCCUGUAAGACUGGGAUAACUCCGGGAAACCGGGGCUAAUACCGGAUGGUUGUCUGAACCGCAUGGUUCAGACAUAAAAGGUGGCUUCGGCUACCACUUACAGAUGGACCCGCGGCGCAUUAGCUAGUUGGUGAGGUAACGGCUCACCAAGGCGACGAUGCGUAGCCGACCUGAGAGGGUGAUCGGCCACACUGGGACUGAGACACGGCCCAGACUCCUACGGGAGGCAGCAGUAGGGAAUCUUCCGCAAUGGACGAAAGUCUGACGGAGCAACGCCGCGUGAGUGAUGAAGGUUUUCGGAUCGUAAAGCUCUGUUGUUAGGGAAGAACAAGUGCCGUUCAAAUAGGGCGGCACCUUGACGGUACCUAACCAGAAAGCCACGGCUAACUACGUGCCAGCAGCCGCGGUAAUACGUAGGUGGCAAGCGUUGUCCGGAAUUAUUGGGCGUAAAGGGCUCGCAGGCGGUUUCUUAAGUCUGAUGUGAAAGCCCCCGGCUCAACCGGGGAGGGUCAUUGGAAACUGGGGAACUUGAGUGCAGAAGAGGAGAGUGGAAUUCCACGUGUAGCGGUGAAAUGCGUAGAGAUGUGGAGGAACACCAGUGGCGAAGGC
RNAcentral lists this ribosomal RNA (702 nucleotides) under Bacillus sp. (in: firmicutes). RNAcentral describes it as "bacterial SSU rRNA". It matches the Rfam family "Bacterial small subunit ribosomal RNA", at positions 37 to 722 of the family's 1533-position model. Lineage: Bacteria; Bacillati; Bacillota; Bacilli; Caryophanales; Bacillaceae. The record is from RNAcentral.